This 274-nucleotide ribosomal RNA is filed under the name uncultured bacterium. RNAcentral's name for it is "partial 16S ribosomal RNA". It matches the Rfam family "Bacterial small subunit ribosomal RNA", at positions 523 to 796 of the family's 1533-position model. The record is from RNAcentral.
AUACGGAGGGUGCAAGCGUUGUUCGGAAUCACUGGGCGUAAAGGGCGCGCAGGCGGUUUGGUAAGUCAGAUGUGAAAGCCCACGGCUCAACCGUGGAAGUGCAUUUGAAACUGCCAGACUUGAGUACCAGAGGGGAAAGUGGAAUUCCCGGUGUAGAGGUGAAAUUCGUAGAUAUCGGGAGGAAUACCGGUGGCGAAGGCGACUUUCUGGCUGGAUACUGACGCUGAGGCGCGAAAGCGUGGGGAGCAAACAGGAUUAGAAACCCGUGUAGUCC